GUUUUCCAUCAAUUUGUAUGUUUAGUAUGUUAAGAUUAUUUGUAUUUGAUCUUUUGCCUAUAUAUAUAUAUAUAGGUAAAGAGUAUGGUACAAAUAGGGUUAUCGUACAUUAUAUACGCUAUAUUUUGAGCCAUACACGUGUCCUGAUUCAUUUCGGUUUAAUAAGGUUAAAUCAGACAAUUAACCUAAUCAUCAGAGGGCAAAUUCGUCUCUUCAUUCAUUCAGCGUGAAGUUCGUUACACUGAUAUCCCGAGUAGCACUGGACGAACAGAAGUUGAUUUUGAAGAAAAUCGACCGAUCGGUGAUCAUGCUCAAUUAUCUGCUUAUCAGAGAGUUUCGAUUGAGGAUGUUUUAAAUCCGCGACCUGCAAAUCCAAUUCCAAUUCCAAUUUCAAGUUCAAGUGCUGCAAACGAGUUUUCUAUUGAUGAAAGGGUUUACACUCCGGAGGUUCAGGCAUCAGCUACACC
This is a long non-coding RNA of Helianthus annuus (common sunflower), 467 nucleotides long. RefSeq lists it as uncharacterized. The record is from RefSeq and is a predicted model, not a curated record. Lineage: Eukaryota; Viridiplantae; Streptophyta; Magnoliopsida; Asterales; Asteraceae. The transcript has 3 exons.